UACAGAGGUGGCAAGCGUUGUUCGGAAUUACUGGGCGUAAAGGGCGCGUAGGCGGCCUUCUAAGUCAGACGUGAAAUCCCCCGGCUUAACCUGGGAACUGCGUCUGAUACUGGGAGGCUUGAGUGCGGGAGAGGGAUGCGGAAUUCCAGGUGUAGCGGUGAAAUGCGUAGAUAUCUGGAGGAACACCGGUGGCGAAGGCGGCAUCCUGGACCGGCAUUGACGCUGAGGCGCGAAAGCCAGGGGAGCAAACGGG
This 253-nucleotide ribosomal RNA is filed under the name uncultured bacterium. RNAcentral's name for it is "partial 16S ribosomal RNA". It matches the Rfam family "Bacterial small subunit ribosomal RNA", at positions 524 to 776 of the family's 1533-position model. The record is from RNAcentral.